Grammomys surdaster is the source of this 138-nucleotide small nucleolar RNA. RefSeq annotates it as small nucleolar RNA SNORA17. The transcript has a single exon. NCBI's taxonomy places the organism in Eukaryota, Metazoa, Chordata, Mammalia, Rodentia, Muridae. The record is from RefSeq and is a predicted model, not a curated record.
CUUGAAUCCCAGAGGCAUUGCAAGUGUCUCUUUUAUGUUAUGCGAGUAUCAGUAGGAGGCAGAGAAGAGAGAGGUUAUGUCUACACUCAACUCACUGUCCUGACCUAUGAACAUCUGAAUGAUUAGUAGCCUAACAUU